This is a non-coding RNA of Camellia sinensis, 696 nucleotides long. The record is from RefSeq and is a predicted model, not a curated record. NCBI's taxonomy places the organism in Eukaryota, Viridiplantae, Streptophyta, Magnoliopsida, Ericales, Theaceae.
CUUCAACAAAAUUGCAAAUGCAAAAUUUUUGUGUAGGGUGGUCUUGUUGAAGCUGAUGAAUCCUCCUUUUCUUUCGGAGGGAGGGAGAGCUCCAAAAAUCUACCAAGCGGAGCCAAUAUUCAGAAGUUGACAAUAUUUUCAUAUGUACAAGAGGCUAAUGCACCUGUAUCAUGUAGAGAAGAAAGGAUGUUCUCCUCCAAAGAAUGUCAAAUAAUGCAGCUGGCCUGGUGGUUGCAGAUGCACAAAGCUCAUCUGAGAUGCAUGAAUCAGAUUCGCCUGCUGCAGCUGCUGGUCUGCUGCUGCCGCCCUUGUGGUUGAUGCUUGCUGGGCGGCUGCUGCUGCUGCUGCUGCAAUGUUGCUGUGAAGCGGCUGCUACUAGAUGUUGGUUUGCUGGAUAAGUUUGUGGAUACUUUUCGUGUCGUUUUGCCUGUCUUUGUUAGUUUCAUGUUUUCAUUGUGUUAUCUGUUGUUUGUAAUGUGGGUUCACAAUUUGGAUGUAUUUGGGUAUUUUAGUGAGUUUACCCUUUUAGGUUUUAUACACUACUUCUAAAAGCAGUAUCAGCGGUGUUUUUUUUUUGCUUGCACAUCAACUUUAGGUAAUUUUAUAUCAAUGUUAUUAGUUUGUAAUAGUGGUGCCUGAGGAAUGUCUCUUGUAAAUCUAUAAAUCUUAUAAAAAUAUAUAAAUUAUUUUCAAUUA